Molecule: ribosomal RNA, 443 nt
Filed under: uncultured bacterium
Lineage: Bacteria
Description: partial 16S ribosomal RNA
Rfam family: Bacterial small subunit ribosomal RNA
Source: RNAcentral
CCUACGGGAGGCAGCAGUGGGGGAUAUUGGACAAUGGGGGUAACCCUGAUCCAGCGACGCCGCGUGAGUGAAGAAGUAUUUCGGUAUGUAAAGCUCUGUCAGCAGGGAAGAAAGAAAUGACGGUACCUGACCAAGAAGCCCCGGCUAACUACGAGCCAGCCGCCGCGGUAAUACGUAGGGGGCAAGCGUUAUCCGGAAUUACUGGGUGUAAAGGGAGAGUAGACGGUUAAGUAAGUCUGGAGUGAAAGGCCGGGGACCAACCCCGGGACUGCUCUGGAAACUAUUGAACUUGAGUGCAGGAGAGGUAAGCGGAAUUCCUAGUGUAGCGGUGAAAUGCGUAGAUAUUAGGAGGAACACCAGUGGCGAAGGCGGCUUACUGGACUGUAACUGACGUUGAGGCUCGAAAGCGUGGGGAGCAAACAGGAUUAGAUACCCGAGUAGUC